AAACCAACAGGGAUUGCCUUAGUAGCGGCGAGUGAAGCGGCAAGAGCUCAAAUUUGAAAUCUGGUGCCUUUGGUGCCCGAGUUGUAAUUUGAAGAAAGCUAUCUUGGAUUUGGCCUUUGUCUAUGUUCCUUGGAACAGGACGUCACAGAGGGUGAGAAUCCCGUGCGAUGAGGUGUCCAUUUCUAUGUAAGAUGUUUUCGAAGAGUCGAGUUGUUUGGGAAUGCAGCUCUAAGUGGGUGGUAAAUUCCAUCUAAAGCUAAAUAUUGGCGAGAGACCGAUAGCGAACAAGUACAGUGAUGGAAAGAUGAAAAGAACUUUGAAAAGAGAGUGAAAAAGUACGUGAAAUUGUUGAAAGGGAAGGGUAUUAGAUCAGACUUGGUAUUUAGUUAUCAUUGCUCCUUGUGGGUGGUGCUCUAGCUUUCUACUGGGCCAGCAUCAGUUUUGGUGGCAAGAUAAUGACAAUUUGAACGUGGCUCUUCGGAGUGUUAUAGCUUUUGUUGAUGUUGCCUACUGGGACUGAGGUCUGCGGCUUUUGCCUAGGAUGCUGGCGUAAUGAUCCAAUACCGC
Molecule: ribosomal RNA, 567 nt
Filed under: Ogataea methanolica
Lineage: Eukaryota; Fungi; Ascomycota; Pichiomycetes; Pichiales; Pichiaceae
Description: eukaryotic LSU rRNA
Rfam family: Eukaryotic large subunit ribosomal RNA
Source: RNAcentral